GGCUAACGCUGGCGGCGUGUCUUAGCCAUGCAAGUCGAGCGGGCCUGUGGGUUUACCUACAGGUCAGCGGCGGACGGCGGAGUAACACGUAGCUAACCUACCCCCUGGACGGGGAUAACCACUCGAAAGGGUGGCUAAUACCCGAUGGAGUCCCUAUCUGAGAUGGUAGGGAUGAAAGGUGGGCCUCUGCGGAAGCAAGCUCAUGCCGGGGGAGGGGGCUGCGGCCUAUCAGGUAGUUGGUGGGGUAAUGGCCCACCAAGCCUAUGACGGGUAGCCGGCCUGAGAGGGUGACCGGCCCGAGGGGCACUGAGACACGGGCCCCACUCCUACGGGAGGCAGCAGGCUAGAAAAUUGGGCAAUGGGGGAAACCCUGACCCAGUGACGCCGCGUGCAGGAAGAAGCCCUUCGGGGUGUAAACUGCUGUCGUGCGGGGCGAAGGGUCCAUAGGCGAAUAGCUUAUGGGCUUGACGGUACCGCAGGAGGAAGCCCAGGCUAACCUCGUGCCAGCAGCCGCGGUAAUACGGGGUGGGCGAGCGUUGCCCGGAAUUACUGGGUUUAAAGGGGGUGUAGGCGGUCCGGAGAGUCAGGUGUGUAAUCCAACCGCUCAACGGUUGGGCUGCACCUGAUACUUCCGGGCUAGAGGGCGGUAGAGGAGAGCGGAACUCCCGGUGUAGCGGUGAAAUGCGUAGAUAUCGGGAGGAACGCCGGUGGCGAAGGCGGCUCUCUGGGCCGUUCCUGACGCUGAGGCCCGAAAGCUGGGGGAGCGAAAG
This 770-nucleotide ribosomal RNA is filed under the name uncultured bacterium. Its description in RNAcentral is "bacterial SSU rRNA". It matches the Rfam family "Bacterial small subunit ribosomal RNA", at positions 28 to 774 of the family's 1533-position model. The record is from RNAcentral.